RNAcentral lists this unclassified non-coding RNA (205 nucleotides) under Hevea brasiliensis (rubber tree). The record is from RNAcentral. Lineage: Eukaryota; Viridiplantae; Streptophyta; Magnoliopsida; Malpighiales; Euphorbiaceae.
GGGAAAGAAGUAUUAACCUUGAAUUGUAAUAUGUAAUUCGCAUCAAUCAGUUCCAUAAAAACAACCUCAUGCUUUCAAUGAAACAUGCCAUACUACAAUGAAACCUUGAAUUCCUGCGGGACUUUUGUACCCCCUAAAUAGCCAGACACAAAAUGCAUCGUAUUUUUAUGCUCCUAGCUUUCUAGAUAUUUGUCAUAGGAGCAAA